Zalophus californianus (California sea lion) is the source of this 487-nucleotide non-coding RNA. NCBI's taxonomy places the organism in Eukaryota, Metazoa, Chordata, Mammalia, Carnivora, Otariidae. The record is from the annotation of a RefSeq genome assembly.
GGGACUGCCUGACAAGAGAAGGAGCUGAGCUGGCUGGAGGCUGCAAUUCUCAAAGUGAUCUUAAUUGGGAGGAACCAUGAAGACAGCCACGGGAGCUUUAAUCAUAUUCUCAUGGCUGCAGCUGAACUGGUUCAGUCAAGGAGAGAAGGUGGAGCAGCAUCCUUCUACCCUGAGCGUCCAGCAGGGAAGCAGCUCUGUUAUCAACUGCAGUUAUUCAGACAGUGCCUCAAAUUACUUCCCUUGGUAUAAGCAAGAACUCAGGAAAGGUCCCCAGCUCCUUAUAGACAUUCGUUCAACCAUGGCCACAAAAGAAGACCAAAGACUCACUGUUUUAUUGAAUAAGACGGCCAAACAUCUCUCCCUGCACAUCAAAGACACCCAACCUGAAGACUCAGCUGUAUACUUCUGUGCAGCAAGCACACAUUGCUUCCCAGGCACCUGCUGCCUGCACUCAAACCUGGGUCUGGGGCAGCCCCUUGUCCUCUGA